CCCCAUGGACUGCAGCAUGCCAGGCUCUCCUGUCCAUCACCAGUUCCCAGAGUUUGCUCAAACUUGUGUCCAACUCAUCACCAACUCAUCAAGUUGGUGAUGUCAUCCAACCAUCUCAUCCUCUGUUGUCACCUUCUCCUCCUACCUUCAAUCUUUUACAGCAUCCGGGUCUUUCCCAAUGAGUCAGCUCUUCACAUCAGGUGGCCAAAGUAUUGGAGCUUCAGCUUCAGCAUCAGUCCUUCCAAUGAAUAUUCAGAGUUGGUUUCCUUUAGGAUUGACUGGUUUGAUCUCCUUCAGGAGCUAUCUAUCGGUUCUGUACAAACAGGAUGAAGGGCAUUUAUGGCAAAGCCCUGAAGAGGGUGGACCACGGCUGAAGAUCCAUCAUCCAAUCAUAGAUCCCUGCUGCUUAUAAUCUAACUAUGCCCAUCUCCUGGAAGAUGAAGGUUCUGGGGCUGUCUGAAGAUAGUCUGUGGGUUUUAUGAAACAGAAAAUCUUUGCGAAGAUAUAUCAGGUGUAAAUCCCUGGGAGGUAAGAAGUAACUACCCCUGUGGGGGCAAUAAUCAUACAAUCUUGCUUUCCAUCUUUGCUGAGAAUGAAGGUGGUGAUGGACAUAUUUGUUCUAGUGAGAAAAUAAUGGGAUUUAGAGGGUAAGAGCUCUUGAAUCUUGAUUUACUUUGUGGGACCAUUUAUUUACCUUCUUUGAAACUCAUCUUUUUCUCAUCUGUAGAAUGGGUGUGAGAAUCACACGGAAUAAUGUAUAGAGAGUAUAGAGAGCUCCUUCUCAUCUGUAAAGUCAUGAUGGUUAAUUAUUGCCAUGAAAAUCACAUUAGGAACAACUGAUUUUUGCCAUCCAGUGGCCAGAUGGGGGUAAAUAGAUUUCCUCUGGGCUCAAUAGUUUCUGCCUCAGAUAAUCACCUCUUAAGAGUUCUUUGGUUGGCACUUGAAGAUCAGAAAUUUCUUUGAAAGCAAUUUAAUCACUCUGUGAAUAAACUGAAAAAUAUAUUUCA
This 1007-nucleotide long non-coding RNA is filed under the name Bos indicus x Bos taurus (hybrid cattle). RNAcentral describes it as "lncRNA (ENSBIXG00000005627.1)". The record is from RNAcentral. Lineage: Eukaryota; Metazoa; Chordata; Mammalia; Artiodactyla; Bovidae.